RNAcentral lists this transfer RNA (69 nucleotides) under Bacteroides caecigallinarum. RNAcentral's name for it is "tRNA-Val". RNAcentral also lists the same sequence under 1 other name. The record is from RNAcentral. Lineage: Bacteria; Pseudomonadati; Bacteroidota; Bacteroidia; Bacteroidales; Bacteroidaceae.
GGGCCCUAAGUUCAGGUGGUGGAACACCCUGUACCAGGGAGGUGACGGGUUCAAGUCUCGUAGGGCUCA